AGAUUUAGUAUAUUAUUUAGUAUUGUUUAUUGUCUAUAAAUAGGUUUUUUGUCUUU
Molecule: transfer RNA, 56 nt
Filed under: Dirofilaria sp. 'hongkongensis'
Lineage: Eukaryota; Metazoa; Nematoda; Chromadorea; Rhabditida; Onchocercidae
Also listed under: 2 other names
Description: tRNA-Asp
Source: RNAcentral